GCGAUUGAGGCGCAAUAAAUAUCAGUAUGAUUUUUGAAGUUGUCAGGGACUUAAGAUGAAGUCAAAAAGGAUUUAUUGCCGAAGCAUUUGCUUACCUGAAUGGGCAAACGCUGGUUGCAUUAUUAAGAGUAAUGUGACUGUCAUCAUCUGAUGGAGUGCUUUCGUA
Molecule: non-coding RNA, 166 nt
Filed under: pig gut metagenome
Description: Lysine riboswitch
Rfam family: Lysine riboswitch aptamer
About the family: Riboswitches are metabolite binding domains within certain messenger RNAs that serve as precision sensors for their corresponding targets.
Source: RNAcentral